Molecule: non-coding RNA, 73 nt
Organism: Trichonephila clavipes
Lineage: Eukaryota; Metazoa; Arthropoda; Arachnida; Araneae; Nephilidae
Source: the annotation of a GenBank genome assembly
GUCCUUGUAAUGCAAUGGAUAGCUAAUUGAACUUCUAAUCCAAAAGUCGUGGGUUCGAAUACCACCUGGGGUG